RNAcentral lists this ribosomal RNA (253 nucleotides) under uncultured bacterium. RNAcentral's name for it is "partial 16S ribosomal RNA". It matches the Rfam family "Bacterial small subunit ribosomal RNA", at positions 524 to 776 of the family's 1533-position model. The record is from RNAcentral.
UACGUAGGGUGCGAGCGUUAAUCGGAAUUACUGGGCGUAAAGCGUGCGCAGGCGGCUUUGCAAGACAGAUGUGAAAUCCCCGGGCUCAACCUGGGAACUGCAUUUGUGACUGCAAGGCUAGAGUACGGCAGAGGGGGAUGGAAUUCCGCGUGUAGCAGUGAAAUGCGUAGAUAUGCGGAGGAACACCGAUGGCGAAGGCAAUCCCCUGGGCCUGUACCGACGCUCAUGCACGAAAGCGUGGGGAGCAAACAGG